This 64-nucleotide transfer RNA is filed under the name Hypsiprymnodon moschatus (musky rat kangaroo). Its description in RNAcentral is "tRNA-Lys". The record is from RNAcentral. Lineage: Eukaryota; Metazoa; Chordata; Mammalia; Diprotodontia; Potoroidae.
CAUCUUUGAGAAACACUACAAAUACUGUAAGUAUUAAAAAGGUGCAACACACCCUCAAAACCAU